AGUAACAGUCAGAAAUGGCUGCUAAUACCGCAUAAGCGCACAGAGCUGCAUGGCUCAGUGUGAAAAACUCCGGUGGUAUAAGAUGGACCCGCGUUGGAUUAGCUUGUUGGCGGGGUAACGGCCCACCCAAGGCGACGAUCCAUAGCCGGCCUGAGAGGGUGAACGGCCACAUUGGGACUGAGACACGGCCCAGACUCCUACGGGAGGCAGCAUG
This 214-nucleotide ribosomal RNA is filed under the name uncultured bacterium. RNAcentral describes it as "partial 16S ribosomal RNA". It matches the Rfam family "Bacterial small subunit ribosomal RNA", at positions 142 to 353 of the family's 1533-position model. The record is from RNAcentral.